Molecule: ribosomal RNA, 643 nt
Filed under: Fusarium graminearum
Lineage: Eukaryota; Fungi; Ascomycota; Sordariomycetes; Hypocreales; Nectriaceae
Description: eukaryotic LSU rRNA
Rfam family: Eukaryotic large subunit ribosomal RNA
Source: RNAcentral
AACUUCUGAAUGUUGACCUCGGAUCAGGUAGGAAUACCCGCUGAACUUAAGCAUAUCAAUAAGCGGAGGAAAAGAAACCAACGGGGAUUGCCCUAGUAACGGCGAGUGAAGCGGCAACAGCUCAAAUUUGAAAUCUGGCUUUCGGGCCCGAGUUGUAAUUUGUAGAGGAUGAUUUUGAUGCGGUGCCUUCCGAGUUCCCUGGAACGGGACGCCAUAGAGGGUGAGAGCCCCGUCUGGUUGGAUGCCAAAUCUCUGUAAAUCUCCUUCGACGAGUCGAGUAGUUUGGGAAUGCUGCUCUAAAUGGGAGGUAUAUGUCUUCUAAAGCUAAAUACCGGCCAGAGACCGAUAGCGCACAAGUAGAGUGAUCGAAAGAUGAAAAGCACUUUGAAAAGAGAGUUAAAAAGUACGUGAAAUUGUUGAAAGGGAAGCGUUUAUGACCAGACUUGGGCUUGGUUAAUCAUCUGGGGUUCUCUCCAGUGCACUUUUCCAGUCCAGGCCAGCAUCAGUUUUCGCCGGGGGAUAAAGGCUUCGGGAAUGUGGCUCCCCUCGGGGAGUGUUAUAGCCCGUUGUGUAAUACCCUGGUGGGGACUGAGGUUCGCGCUUCUGCAAGGAUGCUGGCGUAAUGGUCAUCAACGACCCGUCU